This 68-nucleotide transfer RNA is filed under the name human gut metagenome. It matches the Rfam family "tRNA". Rfam says of the family: Transfer RNA (tRNA) molecules are approximately 80 nucleotides in length. Their secondary structure includes four short double-helical elements and three loops (D, anti-codon, and T loops). Further hydrogen bonds mediate the characteristic L-shaped molecular structure. tRNAs have two regions of fundamental functional importance: the anti-codon, which is responsible for specific mRNA codon recognition, and the 3' end, to which the tRNAs corresponding amino acid is attached (by aminoacyl-tRNA synthetases). tRNAs cope with the degeneracy of the genetic code in two manners: having more than one tRNA (with a specific anti-codon) for a particular amino acid; and 'wobble' base-pairing, i.e. permitting non-standard base-pairing at the 3rd anti-codon position. The record is from RNAcentral.
CAGGUGUAGUUCAAUGGUAGAACCCCAGCCUUCCAAGCUGGAUACGUGGGUUCGAUUCCCACUACCUG